UGAGGAAUAUUGGUCAAUGGGCGAGAGCCUGAACCAGCCAUGCCGCGUGCAGGAUGACGGCUCUAUGAGUUGUAAACUGCUUUUGUAAAGGGGUAAAGGACAGUACGUGUACUGUGAUGAAAGUACUUUACGAAUAAGGAUCGGCUAACUCCGUGCCAGCAGCCGCGGUAAUACGGAGGAUUCGAGCGUUAAUCGGAAUCACUGGGCGUAAAGCGCACGUAGGCUGUUUGUCAAGUCAGAGGUGAAAUCCCACGGCCCAACCGUGGAACUGCCUUUGAAACUGGCAGACUUGAGUGUCGGAGAGGGUGGCGGAAUUCCAGGUGUAGGAGUGAAAUCCGUAGAUAUCUGGGGGAACACCGGUGGCGAAGGCGGCCACCUGGACGAUAACUGACGCUGAGGUGCGAAAGCGUGGGUAGCAAACA
This 422-nucleotide ribosomal RNA is filed under the name uncultured bacterium. Its description in RNAcentral is "bacterial SSU rRNA". It matches the Rfam family "Bacterial small subunit ribosomal RNA", at positions 355 to 774 of the family's 1533-position model. The record is from RNAcentral.